GGGGUAACCGGCCUACCAAGGCAAAGACGGGUAGCUGGUCUGAGAGGAUGAUCAGCCACACGGGGACUGAGACACGGCCCCGACUCCUACGGGAGGCAGCAGUGGGGAAUAUUGCGCAAUGGGCGGAAGCCUGACGCAGCGACGCCGCGUGGGGGAUGACGGCCUUCGGGUUGUAAACCUCUUUCAGCAGGGGCGAAGCGGAAGUGACGGUACCUGCAGAAGAAGCACCGGCCAACUACGUGCCAGCAGCCGCGGUAAUACGUAGGGCGCGAGCGUUGUCCGGAAUUAUUGGGCGUAAAGAGCUCGUAGGCGGCUUGUCGCGUCGGUUGUGAAAGCCCGGGGCUUAACCCCGGGUCUGCAGUCGAUACGGGCAGGCUAGAGUUCGGUAGGGGAGAUCGGAAUUCCUGGUGUAGCGGUGAAAUGCGCAGAUAUCAGGAGGAACACCGAUGGCGAAGGCGGAUCUCUGGGCCGAUACUGACGCUGAGGAGCGAAAGCGUGGGGAGCGAACAGGAUUAGAUACCCUGGUAGUCCACGCCGUAAACGGUGGGCAC
RNAcentral lists this ribosomal RNA (551 nucleotides) under uncultured Actinomycetes bacterium. Its description in RNAcentral is "bacterial SSU rRNA". It matches the Rfam family "Bacterial small subunit ribosomal RNA", at positions 254 to 816 of the family's 1533-position model. Lineage: Bacteria; Bacillati; Actinomycetota; Actinomycetes. The record is from RNAcentral.